AAACUAUUUUAAUUGUUUUGAAAACAAUUGUUAAGAUAAAAAUCUUGUAGUUUU
RNAcentral lists this transfer RNA (54 nucleotides) under Cooperia oncophora. Its description in RNAcentral is "tRNA-Ser". The record is from RNAcentral. Lineage: Eukaryota; Metazoa; Nematoda; Chromadorea; Rhabditida; Trichostrongylidae.